AGAACGAACGCUGGCGGCAGGCUUAACACAUGCAAGUCGAACGCUCGUAGCAAUACGGGAGUGGCAGACGGGUGAGUAACGCGUGGGAACAUACCCUCCGGUUCGGAAUAGCUCAGGGAAACUUGGAUUAAAUACCGGAUACGGCUGAGAGGCGAAAGAUUUAUCGCCGGAGGAUUGGCCCGCGUUCGAUUAGCUUGUUGGUGAGGUAACGGCUCACCAAGGCGAUGAUCGAUAGCUGGUCUGAGAGGAUGAUCAGCCACAUUGGGACUGAGACACGGCCCAAAACUCCUACGGAAGGCAGCAGUGGGAAUAUUGGACAAUGGGCGCAAGCCUGAUCCAGCCAUGCCGCGUGAGUGAUGACGGCCUUAGGGUUGUAAAGCUCUUUCGCUCGGGACAUAAUGACGGUACCGAGAUAAGAAGCCCGGCUAACUUCGCGCCAGCAGCCGC
RNAcentral lists this ribosomal RNA (447 nucleotides) under uncultured bacterium. Its description in RNAcentral is "SSU rRNA". It matches the Rfam family "Bacterial small subunit ribosomal RNA", at positions 26 to 518 of the family's 1533-position model. The record is from RNAcentral.